UGUCAUCAUACCCCUGAAAUUCCACUAUUGGUAAUAAUCAUGCUUCAGUAUCUUUAAGAGUAAACCUCCUCUGGAAAUUUAGAAAUGCCAUGGAAAACACUUCAGUGCCUAGAGAUGUGUUUUGUUCCCUGUAGAAAAUUUUUUGUUUGACACCUCCUAUGUGGGAGUUACUUUUAACCUAUAUUUUUACUUUUGUAUUUUAGAGCCCUACCUCAUUCUUUUGACCUUUGUGUUAGAGACACCUCCAGCAAUAGUAGAGUUGACCAUUUUGAGUUAGCAUCUGAUUUGUUUUGAAUUUAUUGGUUUCUAUGCAUCAAAUUCAUUUGUACUAUUUUUACUUACAAUAUUUGGUAUGACUUUAGAUAGCUCAAAGGGUUAUUUUAUGCUUUCUGUUCCACUUCUGUCUAUAAAUUUUGCUUUUACAGCACAGUCAGCAAAACUAAUGGGAACCAUGCAGCCACUUUUCUCUUUAAGAAGAUCAUUUUUGACGUUUGUAAUUGGGCCAAACGUGAUCCCCCCUCCCAGCACCUCAGAGCCAUCGCAAGGUUUAUCUGGAGAGGGACCACCCUGGCUUUCUCCUGCAAAAUAAGAUUUGGGCUUUCAGGUCACCAAGUGUUUGCUGCAGAUUGGUUCUCAUUAAAAUAAACUCUGGACAGUGGUCCAUGUUUUUAUUAUUGACCUUUGAUUUUCUUGAGGUUGGAGAGGCAUCCCUUUAGAAUGACAGAUUUUUUCUUGGAAUUUCAUUAAUAGAAUCUUAGCUGUAAUAAUUAUAUAAAAAAGCAGUGAUUAAAAAAAAGAGCAAGUUACUGGUUAAGAAAGCUGGAUUAUGUCCUUGAUACUCCAGUGACAUAUGACAUUUACUUUUCUUAAACUAAAAUUUCAGCCUCUCUCAUUUCCUCACAUCUUCAUCUAGAAUUUCAUCCUCAACUAGAGUUGCUUCAUAUACAGGUCAUAUGAUAAAUAGAAACUUAAGUGUAUAUCAUUUGCAUAUAUUGCGGUUAUCCUAUACUUACUGAGCACCUAUUAUAUCCCUUGUAUUGUGUCCAUUCAAUUCCUACGAAACCCCUAGAGGUGGCGAUUGAUAAUUUUCCACUAUUAAAUUGAGGAAAGUUAAAUUUCAGAGAGGUCGCAUUAUUUCCUCAAAAUCACAUUCUUAAUAAGUAAUAAUAUAGUUAUUUCUGCUAAUUGCUUGUCACAUACUGGGCGAUUUGCUAAAUGCUUAAUGUGGACCAUCUUACUUAACCUUACAGUACUUUUAUAUUAUUCUUGGUUCCCAAGUGAGGAAGCCAGCACUUUAGGUCUUACGUGACUUUGCUCAGGUCACCCAGCAGGUAAGAGGUGAAUACCAGUUUAAAAAUCAAGGAAAAUUUCAUUUCUGAGUUCACCCUCUUAACCAUCAAUAUAUUAUUAUAUUGCUUUGUGACUGCUACAAUGUGUAAAAGCUCUGAAUUAUAUCUCAGGUCUCUUACUCUGGAACUUACUCUGUGUGUGCGGUGGCCUUCACCCUGUAGUUAACCUGUGCCCUCUAUAUAUUCCUCCUUAAAAAGAGUGUUAGAAAAUAGACUCUAGGCCGGGCGUGGUGGCUUAUGCCUGUAAUGCCAGCACUUUUGGAGGCUGAAGCAGAUGGAUCACCUGAGGUCAGGAGUUUGAGACCAGCCUGGCCAACAUGGCAAAACCCUCUCUCUACUAAAAAUACAAAAAUUAGUCAGGCAUGAUGGUGUGUACCUGUAAUCCCAGCUACUCAGGAGGCUGAGGCAGGAGAAUUGCUUGAACCCAGGAGGCAGAGGUUGCAGUGAGCUGAGAUCACACUGCAGCACUCUAGCCUGGGUGACAGAGCAAGGCUCUGUCUCAAAAAAAAAAAAAAAAAAAAAAAAAGAAAAAAUGAACUCUAAUGUAUAAUGUCGCAUCUAUGAAAAACACACUUUUGGUUUAAUGUCCGGGAGCCAGUUCUGUCCUGUAUUAAAGGUCAUCUUUGGUAUAAAUGGUAGUUUGUGGGCUUCCUAGAGCCAAUUGUUGGUUUUGUGUUAUUUGAGAAACGUGAUUCCCUGUCACGUGUCUGUUAGAACGCGGUGUUGCCUUAGCAGGCAACAGAGUUGAUUAUUAGGAUAGGCCUUCCUGCUGUUUUCAAAUCAGACUUCUGAGUUACUUACCAAUUUUGAGAUAAGCCUUAGUAGGAACAUUUUUUUUUCUUUUAUUUAUUCUUUGAUCUUCCUUGUAGGUUGGGAUAAUUCUUCACUAUUCCACCCUUGCCACAGUCCUAUGGGUAGGAGUGACGGCUCGAAAUAUCUACAAACAAGUCACUAAAAAAGCUAAAAGAUGCCAGGAUCCUGAUGAACCACCACCUCCACCAAGACCAAUGCUCAGAUUUUACCUGAUUGGUGGUGGUAUUCCCAUCAUUGUUUGCGGCAUAACUGCAGCAGCGAACAUUAAGAAUUAUGGCAGUCGGCCAAAUGCACCCUAUUGCUGGAUGGCAUGGGAACCCUCCUUGGGAGCCUUCUAUGGGCCAGCCAGCUUCAUCACUUUUGUAAACUGCAUGUACUUUCUGAGCAUAUUUAUUCAGUUGAAAAGACACCCUGAGCGCAAAUAUGAGCUUAAGGAGCCCACGGAGGAGCAACAGAGAUUGGCAGCCAAUGAAAAUGGUGAAAUAAAUCAUCAGGAUUCAAUGUCUUUGUCUCUGAUUUCUACAUCAGCCUUGGAAAAUGAGCACACUUUUCAUUCUCAGCUUUUGGGGGCCAGCCUUACUUUGCUCUUAUAUGUUGCACUGUGGAUGUUUGGGGCUUUGGCUAUUUCUUUGUAUUACCCUUUGGACUUGGUUUUUAGCUUCGUUUUUGGAGCCACAUGUUUAAGCUUCAGUGCAUUCUUCAUGGUCCACCAUUGUGUUAAUAGGGAGGAUGUUAGACUUGCAUGGAUCAUGACUUGCUGCCCAGGACGGAGCUCGUAUUCAGUGCAAGUCAACGUCCAGCCCCCCAACUCUAGUGGGACAAAUGGAGAGGCACCCAAGUGCCCCAAUAGCAGUGCGGAGUCUUCAUGCACAAACAAAAGUGCUUCAAGCUUCAAAAAUUCCUCCCAGGGCUGCAAAUUAACAAACUUGCAGGCGGCUGCAGCUCAGUGCCAUGCCAAUUCUUUACCUUUGAACUCCACCCCUCAGCUUGAUAAUAGUCUGACAGAACAUUCGAUGGACAAUGAUAUUAAAAUGCACGUGGCACCUUUAGAAGUUCAGUUUCGAACAAAUGUGCACUCAAGCCGCCACCAUAAAAACAGAAGUAAAGGACACCGGGCAAGCCGACUUACAGUCCUGAGAGAAUAUGCCUAUGAUGUCCCAACGAGCGUGGAAGGAAGCGUGCAGAACGGCUUACCUAAAAGCCGGCUGGGCAAUAACGAAGGACACUCAAGGAGCCGAAGAGCUUAUUUAGCCUACAGAGAGAGACAGUACAACCCACCCCAGCAAGACAGCAGCGAUGCUUGUAGCACACUUCCCAAAAGCAGCAGAAAUUUUGAAAAGCCAGUUUCAACCAGUAGUAAAAAAGAUGCGUUAAGGAAGCCAGCUGUGGUUGAACUUGAAAAUCAGCAGAAAUCUUAUGGCCUUAACUUGGCCAUUCAGAAUGGACCAAUUAAAAGCAAUGGGCAGGAGGGACCCUUGCUCGGUACCGAUAGCACUGGCAAUGUUAGGACUGGAUUAUGGAAACAUGAAACUACUGUGUAACAUUGCUGGGCUUCCUAGGCAGAAAUUCAUAUAAACUGUGAUAUUCACAUUCCUUGAAGCUAUGAACAUUUAAAAACUGAUUACAGCCACCAUAGGGAUUCAAAAGAAUUUGGAAUAAACUUUGAAGUUUUGGAUUUUACUUAUUUUUAUCCCCAAAUUGUUGCUAUUUUUUAGGAUCUGAAAUAAAAUCUUUCUAAAACAUUGUUUUAGUUGUCAAAGCACCAACAGGACAUUUUGGGAUGUGAAAUGUAAUUUCUUGGAAUCUGUAAUUUGUACUUAACAUUUCAGGCUUGUAUUUAAUAUAA
Molecule: small RNA, 4008 nt
Filed under: Pongo abelii (Sumatran orangutan)
Lineage: Eukaryota; Metazoa; Chordata; Mammalia; Primates; Hominidae
Description: retained intron
Source: RNAcentral